CCUACGGGAGGCAGCAGUGAGGAAUAUUGGUCAAUGGACGAGAGUCUGAACCAGCCAAGUAGCGUGAAGGAUGACUGCCCUAUGGGUUGUAAACUUCUUUUAUAAAGGAAUAAAGCGAGGCACGUGUGCCUUUUUGCAUGUACCUUAUGAAUAAGGAUCGGCUAACUCCGUGCCAGCAGCCGCGGUAAUACGGAGGAUCCGAGCGUUAUCCGGAUUUAUUGGGUUUAAAGGGUGCGUAGAUGGGUUGUUAAGUCAGUUGUGAAAGUUUGCGGCUCAACCGUAAAAUUGCAAUUGAUACUGGCAGUCUUGAGUACAGUUGAGGUAGGCGGAAUGCGUGGUGUAGCGGUGAAAUGCUUAGAUAUCACGAAGAACCCCGAUUGCGAAGGCAACUUACUGAACUGUGACUGACAUUGAUGCUCGAAAGUGUGGGUAUCGAACAGGAUUAGAUACCCGUGUAGUC
Molecule: ribosomal RNA, 460 nt
Filed under: uncultured bacterium
Lineage: Bacteria
Description: partial 16S ribosomal RNA
Rfam family: Bacterial small subunit ribosomal RNA
Source: RNAcentral